UAGAUGAUCGCAUGGUCUUCUGGGAAGCUUUCGCGGUAUGGGAUGGGGUCGCGUCCUAUCAGCUUGACGGCGGGGUAACGGCCCACCGUGGCUUCGACGGGUAGCCGGCCUGAGAGGGCGACCGGCCACAUUGGGACUGAGAUACGGCCCAGACUCCUACGGGAGGCAGCAGUGGGGAAUAUUGCACAAUGGGCGCAAGCCUGAUGCAGCGACGCCGCGUGAGGGAUGGAGGCCUUCGGGUUGUAAACCUCUUUUAUCGGGGAGCAAGCGAGAGUGAGUUUACCCGUUGAAUAAGCACCGGCUAACUACGUGCCAGCAGCCGCGGUAAUACGUAGGGUGCAAGCGUUAUCCGGAAUUAUUGGGCGUAAAGGGCUCGUAGGCGGUUCGUCGCGUCCGGUGUGAAAGUCCAUCGCUUAACGGUGGAUCCGCGCCGGGUACGGGCGGGCUUGAGUGCGGUAGGGGAGACUGGAAUUCCCGGUGUAACGGUGGAAUGUGUAGAUAUCGGGAAGAACACCA
RNAcentral lists this ribosomal RNA (516 nucleotides) under Bifidobacterium longum subsp. infantis. RNAcentral's name for it is "bacterial SSU rRNA". It matches the Rfam family "Bacterial small subunit ribosomal RNA", at positions 179 to 711 of the family's 1533-position model. The record is from RNAcentral. Lineage: Bacteria; Bacillati; Actinomycetota; Actinomycetes; Bifidobacteriales; Bifidobacteriaceae.